This 474-nucleotide ribosomal RNA is filed under the name uncultured Nitrososphaerota archaeon. RNAcentral's name for it is "bacterial SSU rRNA". It matches the Rfam family "Archaeal small subunit ribosomal RNA", at positions 215 to 690 of the family's 1478-position model. Lineage: Archaea; Thermoproteati; Nitrososphaerota. The record is from RNAcentral.
CUGCGGCCUAUCAGUUUGUUGGUGAGGUAAUGGCCCACCAAGACUAUUACAGGUACGGGCUCUGAGAGGAGUAGCCCGGAGAUGGGUACUGAGACACGGACCCAGGCCCUAUGGGGCGCAGCAGGCGAGAAAACUUUGCAAUGUGCGAAAGCACGACAAGGUUAAUCCGAGUGGUUUCUGCUAAAGAAACCUUUUGUCAGUCCUAGAAACACUGAUGAAUAAGGGGUGGGCAAGUUCUGGUGUCAGCCGCCGCGGUAAAACCAGCACCUCAAGUGGUCAGGAGGAUUAUUGGGCCUAAAGCAUCCGUAGCCGGCUCUGUUAGUUUUCGGUUAAAUCCAUGUGCUCAACGCAUGGGCUGUCGGAAAUACUGCAGAGCUAGGGAGUGGGAGAGGUAGACGGUACUCGGUAGGAAGGGGUAAAAUCCUUUGAUCUAUCGAUGACCACCUGUGGCGAAGGCGGUCUACCAGAACACGU